GACGAACGCUGGCGGCGUGCUUAACACAUGCAAGUCGAACGGAAAGGCCCUGCUUUUGUGGGGUGCUCGAGUGGCGAACGGGUGAGUAACACGUGAGUAACCUGCCCUUGACUUUGGGAUAACUUCAGGAAACUGGGGCUAAUACCGGAUAGGAGCUCCUGCUGCAUGGUGGGGGUUGGAAAGUUUCGGCGGUUGGGGAUGGACUCGCGGCUUAUCAGCUUGUUGGUGGGGUAGUGGCUUACCAAGGCUUUGACGGGUAGCCGGCCUGAGAGGGUGACCGGCCACAUUGGGACUGAGAUACGGCCCAGACUCCUACGGGAGGCAGCAGUGGGGAAUAUUGCACAAUGGGCGGAAGCCUGAUGCAGCAACGCCGCGUGCGGGAUGACGGCCUUCGGGUUGUAAACCGCUUUCGCCUGUGACGAAGCGUGAGUGACGGUAAUGGGUGAAGAAGUAUCGGCUAACUACGUG
Molecule: ribosomal RNA, 468 nt
Filed under: uncultured bacterium
Lineage: Bacteria
Description: partial 16S ribosomal RNA
Rfam family: Bacterial small subunit ribosomal RNA
Source: RNAcentral